CAGCAGCCACGGUAAUACAGAGGGUGCGAGCGUUAAUCGGAUUUACUGGGCGUAAAGCGUGCGUAGGCGGCUUUUUAAGUCGGAUGUGAAAUCCCUGAGCUUAACUUAGGAAUUGCAUUCGAUACUGGGAAGCUAGAGUAUGGGAGAGGAUGGUAGAAUUCCAGGUGUAGCGGUGAAAUGCGUAGAGAUCUGGAGGAAUACCGAUGGCGAAGGCAGCCAUCUGGCCUAAUACUGACGCUGAGGUACGAAAGCAUGGGGAGCAAACAGGAUUAGAUACCCGGGUAGUCCCUGUCUCUUAUAC
RNAcentral lists this ribosomal RNA (301 nucleotides) under uncultured bacterium. RNAcentral describes it as "partial 16S ribosomal RNA". It matches the Rfam family "Bacterial small subunit ribosomal RNA", at positions 509 to 807 of the family's 1533-position model. The record is from RNAcentral.